GGGUGUAUAGCUCAGUGGUAGAGCACAUGCUUAGCAUGUGCGAGAUCCUGGGUUCAAUCCCUGGUAUCCCCA
RNAcentral lists this transfer RNA (72 nucleotides) under Camelus bactrianus (Bactrian camel). It matches the Rfam family "tRNA". From Rfam's summary of the family: Transfer RNA (tRNA) molecules are approximately 80 nucleotides in length. Their secondary structure includes four short double-helical elements and three loops (D, anti-codon, and T loops). Further hydrogen bonds mediate the characteristic L-shaped molecular structure. tRNAs have two regions of fundamental functional importance: the anti-codon, which is responsible for specific mRNA codon recognition, and the 3' end, to which the tRNAs corresponding amino acid is attached (by aminoacyl-tRNA synthetases). tRNAs cope with the degeneracy of the genetic code in two manners: having more than one tRNA (with a specific anti-codon) for a particular amino acid; and 'wobble' base-pairing, i.e. permitting non-standard base-pairing at the 3rd anti-codon position. RNAcentral also lists the same sequence under 3 other names. The record is from Rfam by way of RNAcentral. Lineage: Eukaryota; Metazoa; Chordata; Mammalia; Artiodactyla; Camelidae.